AGAGUUUGAUCCUGGCUCAGGAUGAACGCUAGCUACAGGCUUAACACAUGCAAGUCGAGGGGAAACGACAUCGAAAGCUUGCUUUUGAUGGGCGUCGACCGGCGCACGGGUGAGUAACGCGUAUCCAACCUGCCCAUCACUUGGGGAUAACCUUGCGAAAGUAAGACUAAUACCCAAUGACGUCUCUAGAAGACAUCUGAAAGAGAUUAAAGAUUUAUCGGUGAUGGAUGGGGAUGCGUCUGAUUAGCUUGUUGGCGGGUAACGGCCACAAGGCGACGAUCAGUAGGGUUCUGAGAGGAGUCCCCANAUUGGAACUGAGACACGGUCCAAACUCCUACGGGAGGCA
This 346-nucleotide ribosomal RNA is filed under the name uncultured bacterium. RNAcentral's name for it is "bacterial SSU rRNA". It matches the Rfam family "Bacterial small subunit ribosomal RNA", at positions 8 to 350 of the family's 1533-position model. The record is from RNAcentral.